Molecule: ribosomal RNA, 1344 nt
Filed under: Triticum aestivum (bread wheat)
Lineage: Eukaryota; Viridiplantae; Streptophyta; Magnoliopsida; Poales; Poaceae
Description: partial small subunit ribosomal RNA
Source: RNAcentral
AUGAAUUUAUUCCUGGAUAAACCCUUCGAGCCAGAGGAGGUCUGUACUGCACUUUUUCAUAUGUCACCUUCCAAAGCUCCGGGCAUUGAUGGGUUUACGAUAGGUUUUUUUCAAAGACACUGGAACCUUAUUCAAGGUGACAUUGUGCCGGCUAUCCUUGGUUUUUUGAAUGGUGGUGACUUACCGGUGGGCUUUAAUGAUACAUCGAUCACACUCAUCCCCAAGGUAAGAAACCCAUAGUCUAUAACUCAAUACCGACCCAUCUCUUUGUGUCCAGUGCCCUACAAGAUUGGGGCUAAGAUGAUCACUAACCAUUUGAAAGAGAUUAUGGAUGCAGUUGUGGGAGUGGAACAGAGUGCAUUUGUUCCCGGCCACUUGAUUACUGAUAAUGUGGUGGUCGCCUUUGAGAGUGUCCAUACUAUGAGAAGGCGAAAGGGGAAGAAUUAUACAUGUGCUAUCAAGUUGGACAUGAUGAAGGCCGGCCGUGUUGAAUGGCAUUAUCUGGAGGCAAUCAUGCUCAAGCUUGGUUUUAGCAGUAAUUUUGUGAACUUGAUUAUGAGAUGUGUAUCUUCGGUCAGGUUCUCGGUGAGGGUGAAUGGAGAACUACUACCAUAUUUCACACCGUCAUGUGGAUUGCGACAAGGGGAUCCAGUAUCACCUUUCCUUUUUUUCUUAUGUGCAGAAGGCCUUACUUCUCUGCUUAACUAUUAUGGAGGUCCUAAUGUUGAUAGAGGCAUAAAAGUGUCCUUUCAUGCACCGUGGGUGAGUCAUUUGUUAUUUGCCGACGAUAGCCUUAUCUUCGUCAGUGCAACACAUGAGAGUGCACACAGGCUGAAUGAGAUUCUGCUCAUAUAUGCCCUAUGCUCCGGCCAGUCUGUGAACAGAGAUAAAAAUGCAGUGCUCUUCUCACCAACUACUCCCACUCCUAGAAGGAAAGCUUUGAAGACUGUCCUUGGUAUCCAAGUUGAGGUGUUCAGUGAUAAAUACCUGGGAUUACCCACUGCGGUUGGAUGGAUUACUAGUGAUACUUUUGAUCAUAUUGGCGAGAGAUGAAGAAGCAAGAUGAACGGUUGGGCUGAGAGACUUCUCGCUUGUGUUGGGAGAGAGGCACUUAUUAAGUCAGUCAUUCAAGCCAUCCCAACAUUCAGUAUGAGUUGCUUCAAACUAACAAAGAAGGUGUGUAAAAGCCUUACAACUAGUAUGGCAAGUUUUGGUGUGGAGUGGUUCCCUCGAUUGCAGAUCGUUGCAUUGGGUGGCAUGUGUUGGAAAUAUGCCCUAGAGGCAAUAAUAAAAGUAUUAUUAUAUUUCAUUGUUCAUGAUAAUUGUCUUUUAUUCAUGCUAUAA